This 914-nucleotide ribosomal RNA is filed under the name uncultured marine archaeon. Its description in RNAcentral is "bacterial SSU rRNA". It matches the Rfam family "Archaeal small subunit ribosomal RNA", at positions 1 to 922 of the family's 1478-position model. The record is from RNAcentral.
UUCCGGUUGAUCCCGCCGGACCUGACUGCUAUCGGAUUGAUACUAAGCCAUGCGAGUCAUUGUAGCAAUACAAGGCAUACGGCUCAGUAACGCGUAGUCAACCUAACCUAUGGACGGGAAUAACCUCGGGAAACUGAGAAUAAUGCCCGAUAGAACAUUAUGCCUGGAAUGGUUUAUGUUCCAAAUGAUUUAUCGCCGUAGGAUGGGACUGCGGCCUAUCAGUUUGUUGGUGAGGUAAUGGCCCACCAAGACUAUUACAGGUACGGGCUCUGAGAGGAGUAGCCCGGAGAUGGGUACUGAGACACGGACCCAGGCCCUAUGGGGCGCAGCAGGCGAGAAAACUUUGCAAUGUGCGAAAGCACGACAAGGUUAAUCCGAGUGAUUUGUGCUAAACGAAUCUUUUGUUAGUCCUAGAAACACUAACGAAUAAGGGGUGGGCAAGUUCUGGUGUCAGCCGCCGCGGUAAAACCAGCACCUCAAGUGGUCAGGAUGAUUAUUGGGCCUAAAGCAUCCGUAGCCGGCUCUGUAAGUUUUCGGUUAAAUCUGUACGCUUAACGUACAGGCUGCCGGGAAUACUGCAGAGCUAGGGAGUGGGAGAAGUAGACGGUACUCGGUAGGAAGUGGUAAAAUGCUUUGAUCUAUCGAUGACCACCUGUGGCGAAGGCGGUCUACUAGAACACGUCCGACGGUGAGGGAUGAAAGCUGGGGGAGCAAACCGGAUUAGAUACCCGGGUAGUCCCAGCUGUAAACUAUGCAAACUCAGUGAUGCAUUGGCUUGUGGCCAAUGCAGUGCUGCAGGGAAGCCGUUAAGUUUGCCGCCUGGGAAGUACGUACGCAAGUAUGAAACUUAAAGGAAUUGGCGGGGGAGCACCACAAGGGGUGAAGCCUGCGGUUCAAUUGGAGUCAACGCCGGG